CAGAGGGUGCGAGCGUUGUUCGGAAUUACUGGGCGUAAAGCGCGCGCAGGCGGGUCCUGUAAGUCGGAAGUGAAAUUUCGGAGCUCAACUCCGAAGCUGCUUCUGAUACUGCGGAUCUAGGGACUGGUAGAGGCUGGUAGAAUUACAGGUGUAGCGGUGGAAUGCGUAGAUAUCUGUAAGAAUACCCGUGGCGAAGGCGGCCAGCUGGGCCAGGUCCGACGCUAAGGCGCGAAAGCGUGGGGAGCAAACAGGAUUAGAUACCCUGGUAGUCCACGCCGUAAACGAUGGGCACUAGGUGCCGGGGGGAGCGACCCCUUCGGUGCCGCAGCUAACGCGAUAAGUGCCCCGCCUGGGGAGUACGGCCGCAAGGCUG
This 373-nucleotide ribosomal RNA is filed under the name uncultured organism. RNAcentral's name for it is "bacterial SSU rRNA". It matches the Rfam family "Bacterial small subunit ribosomal RNA", at positions 526 to 896 of the family's 1533-position model. The record is from RNAcentral.